This 388-nucleotide ribosomal RNA is filed under the name uncultured bacterium. Its description in RNAcentral is "bacterial SSU rRNA". It matches the Rfam family "Bacterial small subunit ribosomal RNA", at positions 28 to 417 of the family's 1533-position model. The record is from RNAcentral.
GACGAACGCUGGCGGCGUGCUUAACACAUGCAAGUCGAGCGGUAAGGCCCUUUCGGGGGUACACGAGCGGCGAACGGGUGAGUAACACGUGGGUGACCUGCCCUCAGCUCUGGGAUAAGCCUGGGAAACCGGGUCUAAUACCGGAUAUGACUCCAUGACGCAUGUUGUGGGGUGGAAAGCCUUGUGCGGCUGAGGAUGGGCCCGCGGCCUAUCAGCUUGUUGGUGGGGUGAUGGCCUACCAAGGCGACGACGGGUAGCCGGCCUGAGAGGGCGACCGGCCACACUGGGACUGAGACACGGCCCAGACUCCUACGGGAGGCAGCAGUGGGGAAUCUUGCGCAAUGGGCGAAAGCCUGACGCAGCGACGCCGCGUGAGGGGUGACGGCCU